Molecule: long non-coding RNA, 1842 nt
Filed under: Homo sapiens (human)
Lineage: Eukaryota; Metazoa; Chordata; Mammalia; Primates; Hominidae
Description: HSALNT0096734
Source: RNAcentral
GAGGACGGAUAGCAUUAGGAGAUAUACCUCAUGUAAAUGACGAGUUAAUGGGUGCAGCAUACCAACAUGGCACAUGUAUACAUAUGUAACAAACCUGCACAUUGUGCACAUGUACCCUAAAACUUAAAGUAUAAUUUUAAAAAAAAGUUCUAAAAUACAACCACAACAACAAAAAAAGACAUGGAAAAAUAAAUAAAUAAAUAAAUAAAUAAAUAAAUAAAGAGCUCCGGUUCCGAUGGAUCUACCACUGACUGGCUGUGUGACACCACAGAAAUCUCCUAACCUCUCUGGGGCCUUGGUUUCCUCAUUUGCAAAGGAGGAAAAGAGCAGCAUCAACUGCAGGGUUGCUCAGCCUCACCACUACUGACAUUCAGGCCAGACAAUUCACCGCUGUAAGGGCCUGCCUGUGUGCUGCAGGGUGUUAAGCAGCAUCCCCAGCCUCUACCCACUGGAUGCUGGUAGCACCUCCCCAAUCAGGAUGUAACAACCAAAACCAUGUCCAGACACUGCCAAAUGUCUCCCAGCACACUUCCAGUUGAAAACCACUGAUCUACUGCAGGAGUCCUUGGGAGGAUUCAACGGAUUCCCGUAUGAGAAGUGGUGGUAUGGUGCUGAAACCUAGCAAGUGUUCACGAAAGGUUUGCUAAAUAAAUCCACAAAAUAAAGGGAGGAAAAGCUCCUGCAAGAAUGACAAUGGCACUUAGCAGACUGCCAUUUUGUGAAUUUAACCAGCCAUCACUUUAGCCCAAGAACCUCCAUCUAUUCCCCCUUUCCUCCCGCCAAAAGAAGCUAGGGCCUGGGUCUCCCGAGUAAUGUGGGCAGAAAGGCCCUGCAAAUGGGACAUGACUGCCUCGAUGGAUUUAAUGGUGCUUUUUAAAUGUGGAUAAUUAUAGGGCCUCUUCUAAGCAAGUGCACCAGUGGGGGGAGGCUGUGGGCUCUGGGGCACUGUGGGCCCGCAUAGCUCAGCUCCGUGGAGCUGAUGGUAAUGUUAUUAAAUGUGCUCUCUCCUUUUAUUAGGCAUCUUAAUAACCUCUAAGUUGCACCCAGGAGAGUUGGUGCAGAAAAGGAAUUCUGGCCAACCUAAUUUGUAUUUGAAAAUACCCCAUAGGCCAACGGAACAAGAUUCAGAUGAAUUUCACAGGCAGCUGAGGGCUACACAAGGAAAAUAAUGAUGUGAACUCAUACUUAUCAGCUAUCUGAUACCCUGAGCCAGACCCCGGUGUAUUCCUCACAACACCCCAAAAGUUCUGGAGAUGAGAAGUCCAAAAUGAGUCUUAAGAGGAUAAAAUCAAAGUAUUGACAGGGCUAGUUCCUUCUGAAGGUUCCAUGGCAGAAUCCAUUCCUUGCCUCUUCCAGAUUCUAGAAGCUGCAGGCAUUUCUGAGCUUGGACUGCAUCAUUCCAGCCUCUGCUUCCAUCAUCACAUAGUUAUUUUCUGUCCCUAACACCUCUUGCGUCUUUCUUACAAGGAUAUUUGUGAUUACAUCAGUCCUGCCCAGUUAAGCCUGGAUAAUUUUCCCCAUUACAAGAUCUUUAACACAAUCAUCUAUGCAAAGUACUUUUUGCCAUAUAAGGUAACAUUCACAGCUUCCAGGAAUUAAAACAUGGACAUAUUUGGGGGAGUCAUUAUUCAGCCUACCAUAGACAUCCAGGAAGAGAUGUUCUAUAAGCAGUUGAAAAUGUAAAUCUAGGCCAGGUGCAGUGGCUCACGCCUGUAAUCCCAGCACUUUGGGAGGCCGAAGUGGGUGGAUUGCUUGAGGUCAGGAGUUCGAGACCAGCCUGGCCAACAUGGUGAAACCCCAUCUCUACUAAAAAUAAAAAAAAAUUUAAAAAAUUAGCCGGGC